UACUUGCUCAGAGACUUCUUCAAGCUGGUCUGGUUGAAAUCUCCCGUAAUGAUAGGGAAGGCGACAGGAUGCGGAAUUUUGUUCCUGCUGAUUAUACUGUUCAGCUCCUCCAGAGCCUGCCUGACAGCGGCCCGAGGUGGAAAGUACACUGCUACCAGGAUGAUGGCAGAAAACUCCCUUAGCAGAUAAAAUAGACGUGAUUUGACCAGUAGACGUUCCAGGUCAGCCACAGGGAGCCACAGCACAGAGAUGAAAGAGCCACAUGCGGCUGUGGAGCAGCGGGUUGCUGACCCCUGACCUAGACUGAGGAAUUGCGAUUUAUCCAGACCCAGAGUGAUUUACCGAGUCAGAAUUCAGAGCUUCUCCAGAAACAGCAGCAAUCAAGUCCCCCUAUUUCUACACUAUUCAUGGUUGGUGCAGCUGUAACGAAACCCAAUUUCCCUCGGGAUCAAUAAGACAAAUUGAGGAAGUGCUUUUGGGCCCCUUCGUGACUCGUUGCUCAGCACAUCAAUAAUUACUACAUUGAAGGAGAGAUUCAUGUCUGAUCACCAAUGCGUGAAAGAAAUGGAACAGAGUGCACAGGAGGUGGAAACAAGUGGUGCCCCAUGCUCUUGCGCCUAUUAAAUGCCAAUGUCCAAGACAUACUUUCAUCCCACAUCACAGUUCCAUUGAGAUCUGUCAGACAGCUCCUCUGGUUUAGGAGAUGAGAUUUUGAGGGGCUAAAUCUAUGUCAGGAGAUUACAGAGACUAAUCUAUUCUUCUGUGGAACUUCUUGGCCCCCAAAGUGUUUUCUGUGAGAUUACUGUUUGUGCACAUGGUCCAAGAUUACUCAGGCUCACCAUAAAUCAUUCAUGCUUAAAUAUAACUUCUGGUAACCUUGAUCCAAACUGCAGGGGAGUAAUCUCUUUACACAGAAAGUUAUUAUGGUCUGGAACUCUCCUAGGUAUAAUAGUGGAGGCAGAUUCAAGUGUAACCAUCAAAGAGGAGCUGAAUAUAUGCUGGAAAGAAGGGUAAAAAUGGAGACCAGGAAAGUGGGACCAGCUGGGUUGCUCUUAUGUAGAGCCAAUAUAGACCAAAUAACCUUCCUCCAUGUUGCCACCAUUUUCUGUGGUGCCCACACAGUUCUGCCCUAUGAGCAUAUUUUUUGCAUUGAAGAAUUUCUAGUUUUUGAAGGGCUGUAGAACAAAUGGAAUAUAUGUCACAUAUAAAGAAAUAAAAUAUGUCAUAUUUUGGGUAUAGUCAGGCAUUAUUUUGUUAAGUUUGUUGUUUAUUUAGUUUCAGAGGCUUCAUGUAUAAGAUGAUGAGGGGCAUUGAUCGUGUAGAUAGCCGGAGGCUGUUUCCCAGGGCUGAAAUGGCUAACACAAGGGGGUAUAGUUUUAAGGUGCUUGGAAGUAGAUACUGAGGGGACAUCAGGGGUAAGUUUUUUCACACAGAGAGUGGUGGCUGCAUGAAAUGCACGGCUGGUGUUGGUGGUGGAAGUAGAUACAACAGGGUCUUUUAAGAGCCCCUUAGAUAGGUCCACGGAGCUUAAAAAAAUAGAGAGCAAUGCCCUUACUAAUCAGGAAUCAAUCUGUCUCCACUUUAAAUAUACCCAAAGACUUGGUUUUUACAGCUAUCUGUAGUGAUGAAUUUCACAGCUUCACCACCCCCCAAUGAAGAAAUUACUCCUCAUUGCUGUUUUAAAGGAAUGUCUUUCUAUUCUGAGGCUGUGUCCCCUGGUCCUCAACUCUUCCACUAAUGGAAAGAUCCUCUCCACAUUCACCCUAUCUAAUCCUUUCAAUAUUCUGUACGGUCCAAUGAGAUCUGUCACAAAUGGAAUGGCCAUCCAGCUUCCUUCUUUGUCGGGAGAUGUCUGUUUCCUGUUUAGCUUGAGGUCACCGAAAGGUGUAAUUCCUUACAGAAGAAUUCCACUGUAAAUGUAUUGUGUCAAUUGACUUCCUCUGCCGUUCACCACUAGAUGAAGAAUCACAUUUCCCUGGUAGGAGACCGAGAUCUUUGGCUUUUACUUGGCACUGUGCUGUCUCAACCAAGUGCUGGCGUGUCUGAUAUAUAGCUUAAUAAAACCUCUGCAAUCUUUCAAGGUCCCAACUUGCUAAUUUGCCACAUUUUAGCUGUUUAAUGAAUGCCUUUGCCUCAGGUGCUGUAGUUGUCCUAGGGCUGCUGGGCAUGUCAUCAGUCACCAGUUGAGGGUGGGGAAUAGAAUAUCCAUUCUUGACCUUCACAAUGAAAUACAUUAAGCAAUCACCAUUUUACCUUAUUCCGGCUGUGAUAAACCUUUCCUACACAGGUUAAUCUUCGUACAUCAGAAUUUGUGGGGCUAACUUAUUACAUGUUUUUGCCAAUCAGUUGUGUAAUUCGAACAUACCAAAUCUUGUGUAACUCCGAGAUUUAUAUUGUUAAUUAGGCUCAAAUGUAGAAUACAUACCUCCUACAAAUGCUAAUAAAUUUAAAUAGUACCACAUUUUAUAAAGAAAUGCACAACCUGAAGAAAGAGGUCCCUCUGAGGCCCAUUAUUCUAUAUUGUUUCUGUUUUAUAGAUUUUAGGAUCAAAAUUGAUGUUAUUGUUUAUUGCUUCAAUAAUUCAAAUUUCGUGGAUGUGAGUUGAAAGAGCCCAGCUGGCUUUGAUAAUGUCCUGGUAUUUCUUUCCAGUAUAGAUUAAUCCAGAACGGAUGUUUCUAAUCUCCUUCUCCCCACCAACAUCUUCACCCCUCAGUGUCUUACCUCAUCACCACAUGAACUUAUCCAGGGCAUGUCCUCUUCUUGUUACUAUCUUUAUGACAAGGUACAGGAGCCAGAAAACACACACUCAAUGAUUUAGAAAUAGCUGCUUUUCCUCUGCUAUCAGAUCAGAAGUGGCAGUCAUUCUUUGAUUCUGUUAUAGUAAUUAUUCAGUUGACUUGUUAAGUAUGCCCACAAGAAUAUGAACCUCAGAUUGUAUAUAGUGACAUAUAUGUACUUCGAUAAUAAA
This is a long non-coding RNA of Hypanus sabinus (Atlantic stingray), 2968 nucleotides long. RefSeq lists it as uncharacterized. The record is from RefSeq and is a predicted model, not a curated record. NCBI's taxonomy places the organism in Eukaryota, Metazoa, Chordata, Chondrichthyes, Myliobatiformes, Dasyatidae. The transcript is spliced from 3 exons.